This 253-nucleotide ribosomal RNA is filed under the name uncultured bacterium. Its description in RNAcentral is "partial 16S ribosomal RNA". It matches the Rfam family "Bacterial small subunit ribosomal RNA", at positions 524 to 776 of the family's 1533-position model. The record is from RNAcentral.
GACAGAGGGUGCAAACGUUGCUCGGAAUUACUGGGCGUAAAGCGCGUGUAGGCGGACCGGAAAGUCGGGCGUGAAAUCCCUAGGCUCAACCUAGGAACUGCACUCGAAACUUCCGGCCUUGAGUGGUGGAGAGGGAAGUGGAAUUCCUGGUGUAGAGGUGAAAUUCGUAGAUAUCAGGAGGAACACCGGUGGCGAAGGCGGGUCUCUGGGCAGUAACUGACGCUGAGGAGCGAAAGCGUGGGGAGCGAACAGG